GAUGAACGCUGGCGGCGUGCCUAAUACAUGCAAGUCGAGCGAACAGAUGAGGAGCUUGCUCCUCUGACGUUAGCGGCGGACGGGUGAGUAACACGUGGAUAACCUACCUAUAAGACUGGGAUAACUUCGGGAAACCGGAGCUAAUACCGGAUAAUAUAUUGAACCGCAUGGUUCAAUAGUGAAAGACGGUUUUGCUGUCACUUAUAGAUGGAUCCGCGCCGCAUUAGCUAGUUGGUAAGGUAACGGCUUACCAAGGCAACGAUGCGUAGCCGACCUGAGAGGGUGAUCGGCCACACUGGAACUGAGACGCGGGCCAGACUCCUACGGGAGGCAGCAGUAGGGAAUCUGCCGCAAGGGGCGAAAGCCUGACGGAGCAACGCGGCGUGAGUGAUGAAGGUCUUCGGAUCGUAAAACUCUGUUAUUAGGGAAGAACAAAUGUGUAAGUAACUAUGCACGUCUGGACGGUACCUAAGCAGAAAGCCACGGCUAACUACGU
RNAcentral lists this ribosomal RNA (496 nucleotides) under uncultured bacterium. RNAcentral describes it as "partial 16S ribosomal RNA". It matches the Rfam family "Bacterial small subunit ribosomal RNA", at positions 28 to 506 of the family's 1533-position model. The record is from RNAcentral.